Misgurnus anguillicaudatus (oriental weatherfish) is the source of this 577-nucleotide non-coding RNA. The record is from RefSeq and is a predicted model, not a curated record. Lineage: Eukaryota; Metazoa; Chordata; Actinopteri; Cypriniformes; Cobitidae.
UAUCAUUGUUUUUUUCUGUUUGUCUUGUCAUGACAAGGCCCAAAUUCAGGCCCUGCCCAUCCUGUCAGGCUUCCAAUCAGGUAAGCAGAAAAACCUGCCAUGCCUGUUUUGGAAGCCUGUCCACAAAAAAGAAAUUAAAAGAAAAAAUUAUGACGUUGGAUGACCAGUGGGCGCAAGCUGUUCUUAAUAGCAGAAAUUUGAGUCGCAUAAUAGACUCUGCUUGCAUUGCCGUGCGGAAACUAGCAACUUUAGGAUGCAAUCCUAUUUUGUUUAUUGGUCGAAAGGAGAAAAGAAAAGAAAAGAAAAGAAAAGAAAAGAAAAGAAAAGAAAUGGGUAGCCGACAUUAUUACCCAUCUGCCCCCCACUCCUGUAACUAAGAAUUUAUUGGAAAAUAUGCAAAGAGCAUAUGAAUUUAUUUUAACAAAGACAGAGCAGCGUCCUGAGAGCCUCGCCCGGGAGCGUCCCGAGAGCCUCGCCCGGGAGCGUCCCGAGAGCCUCGCCCGGGAGCGUCCCGAGAGCCUCGCCCGGGAGCGUCCCGAGAGCCAAGUCCAGGAACUGUCACGGUAAUCCGUGUCAU